This is a long non-coding RNA of Silurus meridionalis, 197 nucleotides long. RefSeq lists it as uncharacterized. The transcript has 3 exons. The record is from RefSeq and is a predicted model, not a curated record. NCBI's taxonomy places the organism in Eukaryota, Metazoa, Chordata, Actinopteri, Siluriformes, Siluridae.
CCUUGGUUACGUCUGUACACGAACUACCUUCUUCAGCGAAUGAAGCUGGAAAAACAAACCUGCAUAAGAUAUAUAACAAGAGAUGAGUGGGAGGGACCUGCGUGCCUUUUUGUCGACUCACCGUGCCGAGAACGUAGGGGUCGCCACAGCGGAUCAUCCGUCUCCAUACCACCCUGUCCUCUACAUCUGCCUCUUUC